CUGCAGCCAAUUAAGCCGACUGAGUUCCUUUCCUCAUGGGGGCCCAGUGUGCAAUGGCUGUAAACAGCAGCUUCCUUGGUAGUGUAUGCAGCCUGUUUGUUGUAUGGGUUGCUCUAAGGGACCUUGGAGACAGUC
Molecule: small nucleolar RNA, 135 nt
Organism: Nomascus leucogenys (northern white-cheeked gibbon)
Lineage: Eukaryota; Metazoa; Chordata; Mammalia; Primates; Hylobatidae
Gene: SNORA70
Rfam family: Small nucleolar RNA SNORA70
About the family: snoRNA U70 seems to be exclusive to mammals and is a member of the H/ACA class of snoRNA which contain H (ANANNA) and ACA box motifs. H/ACA box snoRNAs are involved in the conversion of uridines to pseudouridines (5-ribosyluracil) a constituent of structural RNAs (transfer, ribosomal, small nuclear, and small nucleolar).
Source: Ensembl